This 466-nucleotide ribosomal RNA is filed under the name uncultured bacterium. Its description in RNAcentral is "SSU rRNA". It matches the Rfam family "Bacterial small subunit ribosomal RNA", at positions 26 to 518 of the family's 1533-position model. The record is from RNAcentral.
AGAAUCAACGCUGGCGGCGUGCCUAACACAUGCAAGUCGCACGAGAAAGGGGCUUCGGCCCUGAGUAAAGUGGCGCACGGGUGAGUAACACGCGAAUAAUCUACCUCUGAGUGGGGAAUAACUGAGAGAAAUCUUAGCUAAUACCGCAUAAUACUUACGAGUCAAAGCAGCAAUGCGCUUGGAGAGGAGUUCGCGGCCGAUUAGUUAGUUGGCUGGGUAAUGGCCCACCAAGACGAUGAUCGGUAUCCGGCCUGAGAGGGGCGCGACGGACGACGACCUGGAACGUGAAACACGGUCCAGACUCCUACGGGAGGCAGCAGUGGGGAAUUUUGCGCAAUGGGGAAACCCUGACGCAGCAACGCCGCGUGGAGGAUGAAGUAUCUUGGUACGUAAACUCCUUUCGAUUGGGAAGAUAAUGACGGUACCAAUACGAAGAAGCCCCGGCUAACUUCGUGCCAGCAGCCGC